RNAcentral lists this ribosomal RNA (180 nucleotides) under Dimorphospora sp. ZML09-16. RNAcentral's name for it is "5.8S ribosomal RNA". The stretch from base 16 to 169 matches the Rfam family "5.8S ribosomal RNA". Rfam says of the family: 5.8S ribosomal RNA (5.8S rRNA) is a component of the large subunit of the eukaryotic ribosome. The record is from RNAcentral. RNAcentral also lists the same sequence under 3 other names. Lineage: Eukaryota; Fungi; Ascomycota; Leotiomycetes; Helotiales; Helotiaceae.
CUAUAUAAUAGUUAAAACUUUCAACAACGGAUCUCUUGGUUCUGGCAUCGAUGAAGAACGCAGCGAAAUGCGAUAAGUAAUGUGAAUUGCAGAAUUCAGUGAAUCAUCGAAUCUUUGAACGCACAUUGCGCCCCGUGGUAUUCCGCGGGGCAUGCCUGUUCGAGCGUCAUUAUGACCCAU